UACGUAGGCAGCGAGCGUUGUUCGGAGUUACUGGGCGUAAAGAGUGCGUAGGCGGUUUUCUAAGUUUGGUGUGAAAUCUCCCGGCUUAACUGGGAGGGUGCGCCGAAGACUGGAAGGCUUGAGUAUGGGAGAGGUAAGCGGAAUUCCUGGUGUAGCGGUGAAAUGCGUAGAUAUCAGGAGGAACACCUGCGGUGUAGACAGCUUACUGGACCAUAACUGACGCUGAGGCACGAAAGCGUGGGUAGCAAACAGG
Molecule: ribosomal RNA, 253 nt
Filed under: uncultured bacterium
Lineage: Bacteria
Description: partial 16S ribosomal RNA
Rfam family: Bacterial small subunit ribosomal RNA
Source: RNAcentral